Peromyscus eremicus (cactus mouse) is the source of this 644-nucleotide long non-coding RNA. RefSeq lists it as uncharacterized. The transcript has 3 exons. The record is from RefSeq and is a predicted model, not a curated record. Lineage: Eukaryota; Metazoa; Chordata; Mammalia; Rodentia; Cricetidae.
CCUGGUGCAUAAUGGCCUUCUGGGUAAAGAACUACCCUUACCUCAACUGCUGACAGCACAAAUGUUGUCCUUUCUGGAUGAAUGGGACACAAGGAAAAGCAACUACCAAACUCUGCCAAGACAGGCAUGUUCUAAUUUGUGCUUGGAGUGGUUUACAGAAGCAUAUGGAGACCAACCGCAGUUAUGUUUGAGAUUUUUCUCUACAAAACACGGUUGAUUUCUCAUGGUGAGCUAACUGGAUAGGGCUGGUUAAUCUGUCCAGACAGUCCAUGAUCUUCAGGAACUAUCAGCCCCUUGCUCAUAACUGACAAAUUGUUCCCCAGUAUCAGACAUCAUUGGACUCAUUUUUUUCUAUAGUGCUAUGAACACAAAAGCAGAAAAGACAUAAAAGGUAACAAGCCUUUUAUAGCAUAAAAGAGAAAGUAAGAUUGGCAUAUCCUUUGCUUAUGAUUUCUUCUGGGUGGGGAGGGGUGUAGUGGCAAAAGAUACAAUAAUACAGGCAUCUUUCUGAUUGAUUAAAGUAGCGAAGUGUGUUCUUUGCUUCAUAAAUAAUGCUCUAUUACUUUUCUUCAAAGACAAGUAAACCUUGACAGACUGACCUUUUCCAGGGCCCGAGUUGUUUCUAUGCCAUAAAUUAUACUGUA